CGCUGCCGGGCGACCUAUUCCGUCAGAAGCGAUGGCAAUGCCCUCCAGCAGACGCUGCGUUGUGCAAGCGACAGCUACAAGAUCGAACUCACGAGCAAUGUCGUGUCCGAUGGCGGCAAGUUGACCGGGACCUGGAGUGAGGCGACCCGCAAUGUCAGCGGCGACGUCCAGGGGGCGACAUCCGGCGGACGCUUUCAGGUCGUGGUGAGUGCCGGUACGUUUUCUGCGGACCUCGUGCUGACCACCCGCGGCAACUCCCAGUCGGUCGUCAUCCGCUCGACGGGUGGGGAAUUCAAGGGUGCCAACAUCACGCUGACGCGCACUUAGGCCGUUCAAGAAC
Molecule: unclassified non-coding RNA, 340 nt
Filed under: Hevea brasiliensis (rubber tree)
Lineage: Eukaryota; Viridiplantae; Streptophyta; Magnoliopsida; Malpighiales; Euphorbiaceae
Source: RNAcentral